GGAAGGGUGGCAGAGCGGUCUAAUGCACCGGUCUUGAAAACCGGCGGCCGGCAACGGCCCGCGAGUUCGAAUCUCGCCCCUUCCG
Betaproteobacteria bacterium is the source of this 85-nucleotide non-coding RNA. Lineage: Bacteria; Pseudomonadati; Pseudomonadota; Betaproteobacteria. The record is from Rfam.